This 301-nucleotide ribosomal RNA is filed under the name uncultured bacterium. RNAcentral describes it as "partial 16S ribosomal RNA". It matches the Rfam family "Bacterial small subunit ribosomal RNA", at positions 509 to 807 of the family's 1533-position model. The record is from RNAcentral.
CAGUAGCCGCGGUAAUACGAAGGGGGCUAGCGUUGUUCGGAUUUACUGGGCGUAAAGCGCACAUAGGCGGACACUUAAGUCAGGGGUGAAAUCCCAGAGCUCAACUCUGGAACUGCCUUUGAUACUGGGUGUCUGGAGUAUGGAAGAGGUAAGUGGAAUUCCGAGUGUAGAGGUGAAAUUCGUAGAUAUUCGGAGGAACACCAGUGGCGAAGGCGGCUUACUGGUCCAUUACUGACGCUGAGGUGCGAAAGCGUGGGGAGCAAACAGGAUUAGAUACCCCAGUAGUCCCUGUCUCUUAUAC